Cygnus olor (mute swan) is the source of this 619-nucleotide long non-coding RNA. RefSeq lists it as uncharacterized. The record is from RefSeq and is a predicted model, not a curated record. Lineage: Eukaryota; Metazoa; Chordata; Aves; Anseriformes; Anatidae. The transcript has 3 exons.
UCAGGGAAAAGAAAAAAAAAAUUGAAAAGCUAUUGCAGUGCCACAUCUCUGAUCUUAAAUAGGUGAUCUUGACUUCCACGGCUACUUGAUCAAACCCAUUUCUUUGAGAAAGGUACAGAUGUAGAUGAAUGUGGAUUCCAUUGCUUUUGCACAUCGUGUAUUUUCUCCACUCAGUCAUCACUAUCUCUUUAAAUGACUGAUGCUUACAACCUCAUGGGAACAAUAAAACAUCCUUUCAUAUAAGGAGACAAUUUUUAUGUGUAUAUGAAUGCGAUUUUGUUCUCCCUUGAGGAUAUUCUUUUCAUUUAUUCUGUGCCUGUUCUUUGCUCAAAUUCUCUGCAACACUCUAGAACGACAGCCCCACGAAGGACCUGACUUGGUCCACUUCAGGUUCUGGGGACCUAGACUACAGAGGAAGUCACUGUUUUAUUCUUUUUCCUCCUAGACUUGAACAUGGAUUAUGCCACUUAAAAAAUAGUUUUCUACAGGCAAGUGGAUAAGGAGACGCAUGCAAUGCUGCUGUCAGUUUCCACAAGAUGCUGAUGAAGGGUGUAUGGGCAUAGAUGUCAACAACAAUAACAAAGUAUUUUGGAAGUGUGUACCGACCACUCAAGGAUCA